Molecule: ribosomal RNA, 325 nt
Filed under: uncultured Antarctic bacterium
Lineage: Bacteria
Description: bacterial SSU rRNA
Rfam family: Bacterial small subunit ribosomal RNA
Source: RNAcentral
CGUGAGGUGUCAGGUUAAGUCCUAUAACGAGCGCAACCCCUGUCGUUAGUUGCCAGCAUGUAAAGAUGGGGACUCUAACGAGACUGCCUACGCAAGUAGUGAGGAAGGUGGGGAUGACGUCAAAUCAUCACGGCCCUUACGUCCUGGGCCACACACGUGGUACAAAGGUAUGGACAAUGAGCAGCCAUCUGGCAACAGAGAGCGAAUCUAUAAACCAUAUCACAGUUCGGAUCGGAGUCUGCAACUCGACUCCUUGAAGCUGGACUCGGUUGUAAUUGGAUAUCAGCCAUAAUCCGGGGAACCAGGUAGCGGGUAAAUGUGAGUU